Molecule: long non-coding RNA, 802 nt
Organism: Tympanuchus pallidicinctus (lesser prairie-chicken)
Lineage: Eukaryota; Metazoa; Chordata; Aves; Galliformes; Phasianidae
Exons: 3
Source: RefSeq, a predicted model, not a curated record
UUCUAGCUCUGUCCUUCUGCAGUAUGGUAGUAGCAAGGAUCCACCAGGUUCAUCAAGUACCCUUUUGCCUAGGGGCUUUCCCUUUCAGCCCAGGAUAAAGGCAGCACAUCCAGAAGUGUUUGGAUGUUCAGUAUAAUCACUGAAAUGACCAACCACUUAGAAGCAUCUUCGUCCUUACUUACCAGUUAAAGAAGAGUAAGUGAUGGAACAUAGAGCUACGCAAUUAAAGAAAAAAGCCUAUUCUCCAGCCUCCAGACCACAUCCAGGAGGCCAUAAAAACUUGAGAGUACCCUUGACAGAAGUGUUCUACAAGACGGUCCCUGUCUGCCCCGAGGCAUAUCACACUGGCUACAGACAAGAAAUUCCUUCAUUAUCGGAGAAACGUUGAAGGAUGAGUCAGGAAACUUCUACAUCAGCAUUAUCAUGAAUAAUAAACUACAUGCUAUAAUAUUUCCCAGCAGUACUCUUAAGACAGUCAAUAAGGUGGAAAAAAAAAUAAUCUUUAACUGUGUAACAUCAGUCUUCAGUAUAGUGUUUAAAUUAUAUUAGUGCUGUGCUCUGUAAAUAAAUAAAUAAACAAGCAGAAGGUUCAGAAAGCACAGCCAAGCAAGUUUAAUCUUGACGUAAGGCCGUGAUGUUUUAUUCAUGGGAUGAGAAGAGAGCAGCUUGCAGCUGUCUGAGGAGAGCUGUUACAUACUCGUGGGGAAAGGGAAGAACAGUACGCAGCUGAGAAAAGCUGUUAUGCAGCAGUGAUGCAAGGAGGGAAGUGGAAAGGAAAAUAGAUUUUUCCCCUAGAUGUUUG